GGGUUGGAUGGGGCAGGCUACACAUGCAAGUCGAACGGUAGCACAGAGAGCUUGCUCUCGGGUGACGAGUGGCGGACGGGUGAGUAAUGUCUGGGAAACUGCCUGAUGGAGGGGGAUAACUACUGGAAACGGUAGCUAAUACCGCAUAACGUCGCAAGACCAAAGAGGGGGACCUUCGGGCCUCUUGCCAUCAGAUGUGCCCAGAUGGGAUUAGCUAGUAGGCGGGGUAACGGCCCACCUAGGCGACGAUCCCUAGCUGGUCUGAGAGGAUGACCAGCCACACUGGAACUGAGACACGGUCCAGACUCCUACGGGAGGCAGCAGUGGGGAAUAUUGCACAAUGGGCGCAAGCCUGAUGCAGCCAUGCCGCGUGUGUGAAGAAGGCCUUCGGGUUGUAAAGCACUUUCAGCGGGGAGGAAGGCGGUACGGUUAAUAACCGUGCCGAUUGACGUUACCCGCAGAAGAAGCACCGGCUAACUCCGUGCCAGCAGCCGCGGUAAUACGGAGGGUGCAAGCGUUAAUCGGAAUUACUGGGCGUAAAGCGCACGCAGGCGGUCUGUCAAGUCGGAUGUGAAAUCCCCGGGCUCAACCUGGGAACUGCAUUCGAAACUGGCAGGCUGGAGUCUCGUAGAGGGAGGUAGAAUUCCAGGUGUAGCGGUGAAAUGCGUAGAGAUCUGGAGGAAUACCGGUGGCGAAGGCGGCCUCCUGGACGAAGACUGACGCUCAGGUGCGAAAGCGUGGGGAGCAAACAGGAUUAGAUACCCUGGUAGUCCACGCCGUAAACGAUGUCGAUUUGGAGGUUGUGCCCUUGAGGCGUGGCUUCCGGAGCUAACGCGUUAAAUCGACCGCCUGGGGAGUACGGCCGCAAGGUUAAAACUCAAAUGAAUUGACGGGGGCCCGCACAAGCGGUGGAGCAUGUGGUUUAAUUCGAUGCAACGCGAAGAACCUUACCUGGUCUUGACAUCCACAGAACCUGGCAGAGAUGCCGGGGUGCCUUCGGGAACUGUGAGACAGGUGCUGCAUGGCUGUCGUCAGCUCGUGUUGUGAAAUGUUGGGUUAAGUCCCGCAACCAAGCGCAACCCUUAUCCUUUGUUGCCAGCGGUCCGGGCCGGGAACUCAAAGGAAACUGCCAGUGAUAAACGGGAGGAAGGGGGGGAUGACCUCAAGUUAUUAUUGGCCUUUACGACCAGGGGUUAACCCCUUUGUUAAAAUGGGCCUUUCAAAA
This 1225-nucleotide ribosomal RNA is filed under the name Enterobacter cloacae. RNAcentral describes it as "bacterial SSU rRNA". It matches the Rfam family "Bacterial small subunit ribosomal RNA", at positions 26 to 1244 of the family's 1533-position model. Lineage: Bacteria; Pseudomonadati; Pseudomonadota; Gammaproteobacteria; Enterobacterales; Enterobacteriaceae. The record is from RNAcentral.